Molecule: long non-coding RNA, 587 nt
Filed under: Musa acuminata (dwarf banana)
Lineage: Eukaryota; Viridiplantae; Streptophyta; Magnoliopsida; Zingiberales; Musaceae
Description: long non-coding RNA (MACU_LNC001164)
Source: RNAcentral
GAAGUAUUGCUGCCUUCCGAUGACAAAUCCCAUGCCUCCAUCCUGCGAAAGGGAAGCACCGUCUGUGUUCGAUCUGUAAGCUCUUAUCUCCAGUAACCAGUGAUUCCUGCAGGAACUUGAAACCAAUUCAAUGAAGAGAGAUCUCACUUGGAACUUUUCAUAGUUCUUAAUAAUCAAAAACUUUCUUCAUAUAUAGCUUCCCAGAUGGAGAACAUUUCAAGCCAAUGCCUCCUCAGUAAUUAACUGAGAUAUAUUGUAAUAAACAGGUAAGUCAGCCAUAAUGAAUGAGAAUAUCCUGUCAUGAGCACUUUCAAAUACCUUUUUUUUUCCAAAUAAGAAGAAACUUUUAUUAACUAAGAAGAGUCUCUGAAAUAUGACCUAUGCAGGUCAUCCUACAAAACAGAUGCUGGAACUCAAAAUCAAAUAGAUUUCAAGAGAAUAUUGAAGGUUUAGAGAUGCUUUAAGUAGGUGCUGGGAAGAAUAUAUUUGCUGGAAGGAAUAGAAAUGGAUGUGACUCCACACUGUCCUUGUAAGUGGUCUUUCAGUUUUUUCUUCUUGCAUCAAAGUGAUACACAAUUAUGAAGAAA